UUUAACUGAAGAGUUUGAUCAUGGCUCAGAUUGAACGCUGGCGGCAGGCUUAACACAUGCAAGUCGAGCGGGGGAAGGUAGCUUGCUACCGGACCUAGCGGCGGACGGGUGAGUAAUGCUUAGGAAUCUGCCUAUUAGUGGGGGACAACAUCUCGAAAGGGAUGCUAAUACCGCAUACGUCCUACGGGAGAAAGCAGGGGAUCUUCGGACCUUGCGCUAAUAGAUGAGCCUAAGUCGGAUUAGCUAGUUGGUGGGGUAAAGGCCUACCAAGGCGACGAUCUGUAGCGGGUCUGAGAGGAUGAUCCGCCACACUGGGACUGAGACACGGCCCAGACUCCUACGGGAGGCAGCAGUGGGGAAUAUUGGACAAUGGGGGGAACCCUGAUCCAGCCAUGCCGCGUGUGUGAAGAAGGCCUUAUGGUUGUAAAGCACUUUAAGCGAGGAGGAGGCUACUUUAGUUAAUACCUAGAGAUAGUGGACGUUACUCGCAGAAUAAGCACCGGCUAACUCUGUGCCAGCAGCCGCGGUAAUACAGAGGGUGCGAGCGUUAAUCGGAUUUACUGGGCGUAAAGCGUGCGUAGGCGGCUUAUUAAGUCGGAUGUGAAAUCCCCGAGCUUAACUUGGGAAUUGCAUUCGAUACUGGUGAGCUAGAGUAUGGGAGAGGAUG
RNAcentral lists this ribosomal RNA (667 nucleotides) under Acinetobacter radioresistens. RNAcentral's name for it is "bacterial SSU rRNA". It matches the Rfam family "Bacterial small subunit ribosomal RNA", at positions 1 to 660 of the family's 1533-position model. The record is from RNAcentral. Lineage: Bacteria; Pseudomonadati; Pseudomonadota; Gammaproteobacteria; Moraxellales; Moraxellaceae.